RNAcentral lists this ribosomal RNA (519 nucleotides) under uncultured bacterium. RNAcentral's name for it is "bacterial SSU rRNA". It matches the Rfam family "Bacterial small subunit ribosomal RNA", at positions 988 to 1509 of the family's 1533-position model. The record is from RNAcentral.
CCAGAGAACUUAGCAGAGAUGCUUUGGUGCCUUCGGGAACUCUGAGACAGGUGCUGCAUGGCUGUCGUCAGCUCGUGUUGUGAAAUGUUGGUUAAGCCCGCAACGAGCGCAACCCCUAUCCUUUGUUGCCAGCGAUUCGGUCGGGAACUCAAAGGAGACUGCCGGUGAUAAACCGGAGGAAGGUGGGGAUGACGUCAAGUCAUCAUGGCCCUUACGAGUAGGGCUACACACGUGCUACAAUGGCGCAUACAAAGAGAAGCGACCUCGCGAGAGCAAGCGGACCUCAUAAAGUGCGUCGUAGUCCGGAUUGGAGUCUGCAACUCGACUCCAUGAAGUCGGAAUCGCUAGUAAUCGUAGAUCAGAAUGCUACGGUGAAUACGUUCCCGGGCCUUGUACACACCGCCCGUCACACCAUGGGAGUGGGUUGCAAAAGAAGUAGAUAGCUUAACCUUCGGGAGGGCGUUUACCACUUUGUGAUUCAUGACUGGGGUGAAGUCGUAACAAGGUAAGCGUAGCGAG